UCCUCGGUCAAUUCAGUCAGGUUGACAUAGCAUAUGCUCCAUUUAUCGAAAGGUUCCAAGUUUUCAUGCCAGAGGGGUUUGACUAUGACAUCACAACCGGGAGGCAUAAACUAGCCAAAUGGAUUGAGGAAAUGAACAAGCUUGACGGAUA
Long non-coding RNA from Solanum tuberosum (potato), 151 nucleotides. RefSeq lists it as uncharacterized. The record is from RefSeq and is a predicted model, not a curated record. The transcript has 3 exons. Lineage: Eukaryota; Viridiplantae; Streptophyta; Magnoliopsida; Solanales; Solanaceae.